AGUUUGAGCUCAGUGGUCAACUAU
This 24-nucleotide non-coding RNA is filed under the name Arabidopsis thaliana (thale cress). Lineage: Eukaryota; Viridiplantae; Streptophyta; Magnoliopsida; Brassicales; Brassicaceae. The record is from RNAcentral.